AGGUCCUGGGCUGGCGCCGACUUUUUCUUCAGAAGGGUUGUUCAGAAAACAGAAGUUGCUGAUGCAAGAGAUACUGACAGUUGUCAUCCCCGGUGGGAUCUAUCACAAUUGGGUCACUGUGGGCUUUCCUACAGUUGUUCAUAAGUCAGAGCAAUAAUCACUUUGUUUAAAAACCCUUCUCCCGUGCCAAAAGGAGAAGUGAUGACAUUGUUGGCAACAUUUUAUGCAAUGAUAUUUUCAUUCAAAUAAAUUCAUGUUUGAACAUUUGUUUUUCCAUUUGUUUUCCCUUUUCGCUUGUUGCAUGAAAUUGGUGAUCACAAAAAACCCUAAAAAAAAGAAUAAAAGCAAUCUUUUCAUCUGCAUAACGAUUGUCUUGUUUGAUUUUCAAAGUGCUUUUCAUAUCAAAAUCUUUAUGCAGGUUGUUUCUUAAACCCAUUAAACAUAAUGAUCGGACGUCAUCUCCCAAUUUUGAAUUCCCUGUAUUCGAAGCGGACGAAGAUGAUGUUGAAGGGAUUCCUG
RNAcentral lists this long non-coding RNA (519 nucleotides) under Lathyrus oleraceus (garden pea). RNAcentral's name for it is "Pisum sativum (pea) long non-coding RNA (PSAT_LNC039780)". The record is from RNAcentral. Lineage: Eukaryota; Viridiplantae; Streptophyta; Magnoliopsida; Fabales; Fabaceae.